RNAcentral lists this ribosomal RNA (280 nucleotides) under Ruminococcus bromii. RNAcentral's name for it is "partial 16S ribosomal RNA". It matches the Rfam family "Bacterial small subunit ribosomal RNA", at positions 496 to 776 of the family's 1533-position model. Lineage: Bacteria; Bacillati; Bacillota; Clostridia; Eubacteriales; Oscillospiraceae. The record is from RNAcentral.
UAUGGUUUUGUGCCAGCCGCGCGGUAAUACGUAGGGAGCAAGCGUUGUCCGGAUUUACUGGGUGUAAAGGGUGCGUAGGCGGCUUUGCAAGUCAGAUGUGAAAUCUAUGGGCUCAACCCAUAAACUGCAUUUGAAACUGUAGAGCUUGAGUGAAGUAGAGGCAGGCGGAAUUCCCCGUGUAGCGGUGAAAUGCGUAGAGAUGGGGAGGAACACCAGUGGCGAAGGCGGCCUGCUGGGCUUUAACUGACGCUGAGGCACGAAAGCGUGGGUAGCAAACAGG